AAAGCUCAAAUUUAAAAUCUGGCGGUUCUUGUGGCCGUCCGAGUUGUAAUUUAGAGAAGUGUUAUCCGCGCUGGACCGUGUACAAGUCUCCUGGAAUGGAACGUCAUAGAGGGUGAGAAUCCCGUCUUUGACACGGAUCCCAGUGCAUUGUGGUACGCUCUCGAAGAGUCGAGUUGUUUGGGAAUGCAGCUCUAAAUGGGUGGUAAAUUCCAUCUAAAGCUAAAUAUUGGCGAGAGACCGAUAGCGAA
This 248-nucleotide ribosomal RNA is filed under the name Mycena aff. epiptygeria 2 CRJH-2017. Its description in RNAcentral is "partial 28S ribosomal RNA". It matches the Rfam family "Eukaryotic large subunit ribosomal RNA", at positions 104 to 344 of the family's 3401-position model. Lineage: Eukaryota; Fungi; Basidiomycota; Agaricomycetes; Agaricales; Mycenaceae. The record is from RNAcentral.